CAGAUGGCGACCGGCGCACGGGUGAGUAACACGUAUCCAACCUGCCGCUUACUCGGGAUAGCCUUUCGAAAGAAAGAUUAAUACCCGAUGGUAUAAAGAGUUCGCAUGUUCUCUUUAUUAAAGAAUUUCGGUAAGCGAUGGGGAUGCGUUCCAUUAGAUAGUUGGCGGGGUAACGGCCCACCAAGUCUACGAUGGAUAGGGGUUCUGAGAGGAAGGUCCCCCACAUUGGAACUGAGACACGGUCCAAACUCCUACGGGAGGCAGCAGUGAGGAAUAUUGGUCAAUGGACGAGAGUCUGAACCAGCCAAGUAAGCGUGAAGGAUGACUGCCCUAUGGGUUGUAAACUUCUUUUAUAAGGGAAUAAAGUGAGGGACGUGUCCCUUUUUGUAUGUACCUUAUGAAUAAGGAUCGGCUAACUCCGUGCCAGCCGCGGC
This 434-nucleotide ribosomal RNA is filed under the name uncultured bacterium. Its description in RNAcentral is "bacterial SSU rRNA". It matches the Rfam family "Bacterial small subunit ribosomal RNA", at positions 85 to 518 of the family's 1533-position model. The record is from RNAcentral.